GACGUAGGGGGCGAGCGUUGUCCGGAUUUACUGGGCGUAAAGCGCGUGCAGGCGGUCCGUUAAGUCUCGUGUGAAAUCCUCCGGCUCAACCGGAGAACGCCGCGGGAUACUGACGAGCUUGAGGGCGGUAGAGGGUGAUGGAAUUCCCGGUGGAGCGGUGAAAUGCGUAGAUAUCGGGAGGAACGCCAGUGGCGAAGGCGGUCACCUGGGCCGUCCCUGACGCUGAGACGCGAAAGCUGGGGGAGCGAACGGG
RNAcentral lists this ribosomal RNA (253 nucleotides) under uncultured prokaryote. RNAcentral describes it as "partial 16S ribosomal RNA". It matches the Rfam family "Bacterial small subunit ribosomal RNA", at positions 524 to 776 of the family's 1533-position model. The record is from RNAcentral.